GGGUGUACCUCGUGCUCGAACGCAUCUCGAUUCCACAAUUUCCGACGCACCACUCACUUCAAUCCAGUGAAACCCGAAUGCCUUCGUUCCGUAAACGCUCGCCGAGCGUCAGCGAGCACAGAAAUCGCAGCGAGAGCCGAGAGCGUCGCCGAAAUCGCAGCCCCAAGCGAGAAAAGCAUAGCAAGAAGCGGAAGAACAGUGAAUCAAAAGAAGGGAAAACGAAGGGAGAAGGGAAGAGAACCCGGUCGACCUCUAGAGAGAAAAGCAAAAAAUACGACGAUGAGCGCGAUUCAUCGCCGAAGACGACUGGCAGCGGCGGUGGAAAGAAACAUAAGAAACACAAGCGUCACAAGCGGAAGCAUAAACACCAUCGCCAGGAGUCGUCGUCGCCCGACCGGGAGGAGGCCGAGUCGGACAGACACGGUGACAGACAUUGGGACAACAGAGGAAGGAGAGAUGGGAGGGAUGGUGAGAGAUACCAUAGUGAUUUCGAUAGAUACAACGAAGGCAGGAGUUUCAAACAAUUCAAAUAUAAGGAGAGAGGCUUCUUCCGGCGUGGUAGAGGCAGAAGAGGUCGUGUACAAAACUUUAGACCGCGCUCACGGUCUAGAGACUCGUCGACGUCUCGAUCUCAUCCAUCGAGAGAUUAUCACCGUAGGAAAUAUUCGUCUGAUUCGGAUAGUGAUGAUAGUGGAUCACGUGACAGACAUAGAGGAAGGAAAUCGUACUCUUCGUCUCCUUCUCCUAAGAGAAAGCGAAGAGAGUCUGAUGAGAAGAUGGAUGACAAGAAGAGCAUUAGUAUAGUGGAUAGAGUGCUGGGUAAGAAGAGUUUGGCAAAGGCAACCGUGACGAGUUCGAGUGACUCUGCAGUGAAGGAUGAGAAAGUGGAGACUAAUAAGGUCAACGAGGAGAAAGAACUACUUGCAGAGAACGAUACUAAGUCACCAGAAACCAAAGUUGAUCCUCCACCAUUGCCACCACCGCCACCACCUCCAGUCGUGAUAAGCACAGAAGAGCCAGUGAAGGCUGCGGACGUUCCAGUCGAAGAGAAAAAGAGUAUUAUUAUUAAACCAAGAUCUAAGCGUUCCGAGUUUCGUCCAACCCUUCAGCCCAUAGUUCUUCCACCGUUGCCUGGUAAAGAAGACAGCAAUGUAAAACCAAAGGACGAAGUCGAUGCGGCUAUUAGUCCAACGUCUUUUUCUUCAAAGAAAUCGGCUUCUAGGAAUCAAAUGACAAACGUGGAUACACACAGAAAACGUCGAACUGGAGGCAAGAGCAAGCUUCCGUCUAAGAGUCCAAGGAUGGGACUACACAAUGGACAGGCAAGCAAGAGCGAGCAGCAGUGGCAAUUGAAUCGUUCCAUUGAUGAUUACGAGAUCUUGGAAGAGAUCGGGGAAGGAACGUAUGGACAAGUGUAUAAGGCCCGCGAUCGGUCUACGACCGAUUUAUGUGCGUUAAAGAAAGUCAGGUUAGACAACGAGAAGGAAGGCUUUCCUAUAACUGCAGUGCGAGAGAUCAAGAUCUUGAGGCAGUUGAAUCACGUGAACGUCGUCGCUCUAAAGGAGAUCAUUACUGACAAGUCAAACGCAGAAGAUUUCAGACACAACAAAGGUGACUUCUAUUUGGUAUUUGAGUAUGCUGAACACGACUUGAUGGGUCUACUGGAGUCUGGUGUGGUCGCGUUCAAGGAGGAACACAUUCGAUGUCUCAUGAAACAGUUGUUCUUGGCACUGAACCAUUGCCAUGAGAAGAACCUCCUCCAUCGAGACAUCAAAUGUUCAAACAUUCUUCUCAACAACAGAGGCGAGAUGAAACUGGCAGAUUUUGGGUUGGCACGAUUUUACAACCCGGACGACAAAGGUCGUCCAUAUACUAACAAAGUCAUCACUCUAUGGUAUCGUCCACCCGAGCUCUUGCUAGGAGAAGAAUGCUACGGUCCAUGCAUCGACGUCUGGUCGUGUGGAUGUAUUUUAGGCGAACUAUUUAUUAAGAAGCCGCUAUUUCAAGCCAACCAGGAAUUGGCUCAGUUAGAGACGAUCAGUCGGAUAUGUGGGACACCUACCGAGGCCGUAUGGCCAGACGUCGUCAAACUGCCUCAUUUCAGUACCGUUCAACCAAAGAAGAUUUACCGAAGAAAACUGAGAGAAGAAUUUAUCUUUUUGCCAAGCGAUGGUCUCGAUUUGCUCGACAAACUCCUAGUACUGGAUCCUUCCAAGCGUCUCACAGCAAAACAAGCACUUGAACACCCUUUCCUGGCGAAUGUAGAUGUGGACGAGGGAAGCUUUCCAGAUCUGCCGAAGUGGCAAGACUGUCACGAACUCUGGUCGAAGAAACAACGACGAAAAGCCGAGGGACGCAACUCGGAUGGAACAUGGCCCGAAAAGAAAGACUCUGAUUCUAAGAGUAGUAAACCGAUAUCUGUAGCAUCUGAAUCGAAGGAUGCAGGUAAGGUGGCCGAUGUAGCCGAGCCAGAUCGCGGACUGGCCGCUAGAUUAGAUCGACUACUCGAAGAGGAACCGAGUCAGAUCUCAUUAGGACGUUUAGCCUUACUUCUAUUAUCACAUGCCGAACACAUUGUUAUACAACCGGAUGAACCUCUAGUUGGGCUACCGGCUCUUCUGGAGGCACACGGGCUGACAAGAAAGCUGCUGCAGAGAUCGCCCGGUUCGUUAUCGACUCAUCCCGAAGAUCCACUCUUUGCAUUGCAUCAGAGUUUGGUGGCGAGCGAGGAUCUUAGAGAAGCACUGGUUGCUGCUUUGGAGGCCGAUCCUAUACCACCAUUGGGCGAGACGGAUGCUUUGUAUGGAGACUUGCCCCCACCUCCACCCCCAUCUCGGGGGUACAAACCGGAUCCCUAUGCUAGUCGUCCACCACCACCGCCGCCACCUUUACUUCAUUCGAGGAGGACCUACCAUCGAUAUCGAGCUCCCGAUCCGGACUACUCGCUGCCACAGCCGCCUGCACCUCCACCGCCCUCGUCGCCUCCUGGAGACGAGAUGUACGACGAAUGUUAUGAGGAACGAUAUGGAUACAGAAGGUAUCACGAGAGGAGAGCAGAUGGAUAUGGUGGUUGGGAUAUAUGAGUCUUUGGAUCCUUUUCUGUCGUGGAUGGGAGAACAAUGAAAUGCAAGAGAAAUUGUGGUAGCUGUCUAGAGUCUAUAGCUUGCUCUCACAUUGAGAAUUGAUAAUGAAGCUGUUUGCUACUACACAAUACUUGCUGCACCAAAGUGUUGCUGCAGAGCAGUGUAACUGUGUAAACUAUGGUGCUGUCAGAUUGCCGUCCGCAACUGAACUGUAGCAAGACAGACGGUCGUACUGCAUCCAAAGCAUGCGAGUUGCAAGUCAUGGAUACAGUUGAUAUCAACUACAAGAGUUUGUCUUGAGUUUUUGGAAUAUGCAGCAGUAGAGAGAUGGAAGCUUGGAUACUCAGAUGACAUGGAGACGACUGUAACACCCAAUUCGAUGUCAAAGAUAUUAGUGACAAAAAUGUUGGCUAUAUUUACCAGCCGUGCAAGAAUUUGAAGCUUGGUGGUGAUUGCGACAGUUCGCAAGUUGUCCUGUGCAAGUCGGUUGUCAAGAAUGAUACUAUUGUAAAGUCUGUUGCUGCUACUGCAGAUGGUGUGUCGUUCGUGGUGAAUGGUGCUGGCAAUGUGACGAUCGUUUACCCUGGGAAGGACAACAGAUCUACGGUCUACGUGGAAUUGGUGUGUAAUCAUCAGUCAAAAACUUUGUUCCGACAACGAAGUCAACCGAACAGACAUGGCAGUCAAUCAGAUCUGUAUUUCGCAUUGGAAUACAGUGGAGUUUGCCUGACAACAAAUGCUCCAGUGACAACAAUUGCUCCAGUGACAAACAUUCCCAAGAAGACUUGCUCUCUCUCUGAUUGUUCUUUCUACUUGGAGGUGACCAUACCGGCAACAGCCGUCGGAACGUCGCUUAUCAUCAUCAUUCUAUCGUGUCUGUGGUUCAGGCACAAGGACAGACAGUUCAGCCGCUAUACUACACUGUAGUGCGCAUGACUUGAAACAGUGACUGUAACAAAUUAGGUGGUACUUUUCUAUGCAUGUCUGUCGUAUUGUGUUUGGGAUAAGCAGCAUUUGGCUUAUGCAUACAUGCAAUGCUACAGGGUUGAUUGUUAUGAUAAACUGUUCUUGAAGUAGCUUUCUGCAUAUAAAAUGCACUACCUAUACUGUACAAACAAAUAGGCAAUAAAUACUACCAAGCAGUAAU
RNA transcript from Corticium candelabrum, 4230 nucleotides. It is a transcript of the gene named cyclin-dependent kinase 12-like, with no coding region annotated. The record is from RefSeq and is a predicted model, not a curated record. The transcript is spliced from 17 exons. Lineage: Eukaryota; Metazoa; Porifera; Homoscleromorpha; Homosclerophorida; Plakinidae.